UACGUAGGUGGCGAGCGUUAUCCUGAAUUAUUGGGCGUAAAGAGCGCGCAGGUGGUUGAUUAAGUCUGAUGUGAAAGCCCACGGCUUAACCGUGGAGGGUCAUUGGAAACUGGUCGACUUGAGUGCAGAAGAGGGAAGUGGAAUUCCAUGUGUAGCGGUGAAAUGCGUAGAGAUAUGGAGGAACACCAGUGGCGAAGGCGGCUUCCUGGUCUGUAACUGACACUGAGGCGCGAAAGCGUGGGGAGCAAACAGGAUUAGA
Molecule: ribosomal RNA, 259 nt
Filed under: uncultured prokaryote
Description: partial 16S ribosomal RNA
Rfam family: Bacterial small subunit ribosomal RNA
Source: RNAcentral